AUGCUACUCCCUCCGAUCCAUAUUACUUGUCUUAGAUUUGUCUUGAUACGUAUGUAUCUAGACACUUUUCUAUCUGUAUCUAGACAAAUCUUAGACAAGUAAUAUGGAUCGAAGGGAGUAAUUU
This is a non-coding RNA of Hordeum vulgare subsp. vulgare (domesticated barley), 124 nucleotides long. Lineage: Eukaryota; Viridiplantae; Streptophyta; Magnoliopsida; Poales; Poaceae. The record is from Rfam.